RNAcentral lists this ribosomal RNA (253 nucleotides) under uncultured bacterium. Its description in RNAcentral is "partial 16S ribosomal RNA". It matches the Rfam family "Bacterial small subunit ribosomal RNA", at positions 524 to 776 of the family's 1533-position model. The record is from RNAcentral.
UACGUAGGUGGCAAGCGUUGUCCGGAUUUACUGGGCGUAAAGCGUGCGUAGACGGUUAUUUAAGUCGGAUGUGAAAGCCCCGGGCUCAACCUGGGAAUUGCAUUCGAGACUGAAUAGCUAGGGUGCGGUAGAGGGAAGCGGAAUUUCCGGUGUAGCGGUGAAAUGCGUAGAUAUCGGAAGGAACAUCAGUGGCGAAAGCGGCUUCCUGGACCAGCACCGACGUUCAGGCACGAAAGCGUGGGGAGCAAACAGG